AGAGACAGGGAUUCACCAUGUUGGCCAAGAUGGUUUUGAACUCCUGACCUCAAGUGAUCCGCCCACCUCGGCCUCCCAAAGUGCUGGGAUUACAGGCGUGAACCACCUCACCUGGCCUGAAAGAACUUUCUGAAGGCCCCACACUGAGGAAACAUUUGCUGGGGCCCCAAACCCCACCAUCAGGCCCACACCAGCAGCUGGCCUCAGGGAGGGAGGGAACUGCUCUCUACACAAAAAUGGUUUUGAAAAUAACCCAGCCAAAGGGGAAUUGCUUCAUCCGUUGCACAUUCACUUCUCCCUUUCACUGUGCAAUUGAAGAAAAACAAGGUGAAACAGGAACCGACUCUCACCAUCACCACUCCCACCCCCAUGAAUUCCAUCGGACACGCUUGUGCGACAGCGGACUGGCUCUGGGUGCUGGCCUCCAACCACUGGUGGACUGUCCGUCCUGUGAGCCCCCCAGGGGCCGAUGCCCUCCCACUCUGCCUGCUCUGUUCUUAGCACAGCCCCUGGGCCCCCGUGGGAUCUCAGGAAAUACUUGCUAAACAUAGUAGCGGAGGGAAACGGAGCCCACAGCUCAGUGCAAAGACUCGGCGGCGUGGACUGAGGCUGCAGAAACGCGCUUUUCCUGCUAGAAGGGGACAUCCGCGUGGUCGGGAGUACCUCUGGGGCACGUGCCCUAAUUCCAGAAACAUCUAAGCAGGAGCAGAGUGGCACUGUAAUAGCUUACUGCAACCUUGAACUCCUGGCUUCAAGUGAUCCUCCCGUCUGGGCCUCCCAAAGCUCUGGGAUGACAGGUAUGAGCUACCGCUAUCAGCCACAACCGGGUUUUAAGAGUACUCCUCCAGCCCACUCCAGUGUCUUCCAUCAUUCUGGGCAAGUACCAAAAGAGGACCAAGCCCAGGAAGCCGCCAGCAGGCCUCUCACCAGCCAAGAUGGCUGGAAUCCUAAUAUCAAGAAAUGAAACUCCAGCAGGCCAUGGAAAUGCUAAGGGGUUGGCAUUUCUGCUCUAGAGAGAGCCAAAGAGAAAGCUCUAUUUAUAUCUCCUUGCGUUUGGUCGCAGCCUCAUCAACCAAAAGAACCUUCCGCCCCACUCAACACAUCAAUCAAAUUGGGGAGGGGUGUGAAUGGCAGCAGCGGGUGUUACAGAGGAGUCUCAAGGGUAUCUUAGAGGAUGCCUCUGAAAAGUCGUCCCCUCCAAAUCCCCCCAAGAUAAUUACUAGGAUAUUCUCCUUACCC
Molecule: RNA transcript, 1239 nt
Organism: Mandrillus leucophaeus (drill)
Lineage: Eukaryota; Metazoa; Chordata; Mammalia; Primates; Cercopithecidae
Exons: 2
Source: RefSeq, a predicted model, not a curated record